Molecule: ribosomal RNA, 520 nt
Filed under: uncultured Enterococcus sp.
Lineage: Bacteria; Bacillati; Bacillota; Bacilli; Lactobacillales; Enterococcaceae
Description: bacterial SSU rRNA
Rfam family: Bacterial small subunit ribosomal RNA
Source: RNAcentral
AACAGGAUUAGAUACCCUGGUAGUCCACGCCGUAAACGAUGAGUGCUAAGUGUUGGAGGGUUUCCGCCCUUCAGUGCUGCAGCAAACGCAUUAAGCACUCCGCCUGGGGAGUACGACCGCAAGGUUGAAACUCAAAGGAAUUGACGGGGGCCCGCACAAGCGGUGGAGCAUGUGGUUUAAUUCGAAGCAACGCGAAGAACCUUACCAGGUCUUGACAUCCUUUGACCACUCUAGAGAUAGAGCUUCCCCUUCGGGGGCAAAGUGACAGGUGGUGCAUGGUUGUCGUCAGCUCGUGUCGUGAGAUGUUGGGUUAAGUCCCGCAACGAGCGCAACCCUUAUUGUUAGUUGCCAUCAUUUAGUUGGGCACUCUAGCGAGACUGCCGGUGACAAACCGGAGGAAGGUGGGGAUGACGUCAAAUCAUCAUGCCCCUUAUGACCUGGGCUACACACGUGCUACAAUGGGAAGUACAACGAGUUGCGAAGUCGCGAGGCUAAGCUAAUCUCUUAAAGCUUCUCUCAG